GGUCCCGCACAAGCGGUGGAGCAUGUGGUUUAAUUCGAUGCAACGCGAAGAACCUUACCAGGGCUUGACAUACUACGAAUCCUUCUGAGAAGAAGGAGUGCCUUCGGGAAUGUAGAUACAGGUGGUGCAUGGCUGUCGUCAGCUCGUGUCGUGAGAUGUUGGGUUAAGUCCCGCAACGAGCGCAACCCUUAUUUUUAGUUACCAACUUGUUGGGUUCUCUAGAAAGACUGCCGGUGACAAACCGGAGGAAGGUGAGGAUGACGUCAAGUCAGCAUGCCCCUUAUGUCCUGGGCUACACACGUGCUACAAUGGCUAAGACAAAGAGUCGCGAGCUUGCAAAAGUCAGCUAAUCUCAUAAAGCCUGUCCCAGUUCGGAUCGGGGUCUGCAACUCGGCCCCGUGAAGUCGGAAUC
Molecule: ribosomal RNA, 412 nt
Filed under: uncultured bacterium
Lineage: Bacteria
Description: bacterial SSU rRNA
Rfam family: Bacterial small subunit ribosomal RNA
Source: RNAcentral